GUGGUUUGGGCCGCUUCCCCUGCUUCAGGCCCAGGUGGUCAACUCUCAGUUGAGCAAGUGUCCGGAGCUGGAAAAGGAGGACUGUGGGAAGCUCCGCUGGAAUAGAAGGGAAGACGGUUUGGGAGCUGUGGCCUGACGGGGUGGCAGCAGUGACGCCGAUGCCGGGCGCGGGGCUGUGAGAAGUGUUCUUUCCUUGGGCAUUUGCAUCUGGCUCAUAAACAGGCCUGGGCAUAGGCACUAGACACACAAGAUGAAUGAGAUACGGCCUUCGCUGGGAGGAAUUGACACUGGAGGCAGGGAACACGGAGUCCUGGCAUUGCCACACACCUCCAGGUGGUUUUCGUCAGGACGGAGAGGGUACUCAUGGUGGCCAGCAGCUUCGUUUUUGUGGACAACGGUGGGAGCCAGCACGUGGUGCGGUGUCACCGUGCCACGAGCGGUCAUCAUAGCGUCAUUAGAAACCUCACCGAAGCUCCCAACUUUCCGUGGUUCCCCAUGGCCCUUAGGGAUGAAGCUCACAAGACCCUCCUCCUCUGCCCUCCCGACACGUCUCUCACCCCAGGACCUUUGCACAAGCCUUCCCUGUGCCUGGACACAGCUCUCCUCUUCGUCUAACUCCUACUCGUCCUGCAGGUCUUGGCGUAGAGUCACUUCUCGUGGAGCCUUCCCCUGACAUCGCCACGCAGACACGCUCUCCCUGGUCCUCCCCUUGGCCUGGGAUGAGUGUCCCUCCCAGGGUCACCGGGAGCACCAGGCCCUCACCUGUGCACCUGUCCGUCUCUCUCGCUGACUACGAACGUUCCAGGACAGGAGCUCUGCUCACGUCGUUUCUCCAGCACCCAGCCCAGCCCAGGCCUGACAUACGGUUGGUGUUCAAGAGAGAUUUGUUGAAAGAGCUCAGGGAGGAAUAAAUGAAUGACUGCUCUGCCCCU
This is a long non-coding RNA of Myotis brandtii (Brandt's bat), 932 nucleotides long. RefSeq lists it as uncharacterized. Lineage: Eukaryota; Metazoa; Chordata; Mammalia; Chiroptera; Vespertilionidae. The transcript is spliced from 4 exons. The record is from RefSeq and is a predicted model, not a curated record.